Molecule: ribosomal RNA, 622 nt
Filed under: uncultured archaeon
Lineage: Archaea
Description: bacterial SSU rRNA
Rfam family: Archaeal small subunit ribosomal RNA
Source: RNAcentral
UAAUACUCCAUAGAUUAGAGACACUGGAAUGUUCUUUAGUCGAAAGUUCUGGCGCCUUAGGAUGGAUCUGCGGUCGAUUAGGUUGUUGUUGGGGUAACGGCCCAACAAGCCUGUAAUCGAUACGGGUUGUGGGAGCAAGAGCCCGGAGAUGGAAUCUGAGACACGAUUCCAGGCCCUACGGGGCGCAGCAGGCGCGAAAACUUUACAAUGCAGGAAACUGUGAUAAGGGAACUCCGAGUGCCCGUAUACGCGGGCUGUCCAGGUGUUUAAAAAUCAUCUGAAGAAAGGGCCGGGCAAGACCGGUGCCAGCCGCCGCGGUAAUACCGGCGGCUCGAGUGGUGGCCACUAUUAUUGGGCUUAAAGCGUCCGUAGCUGGACCGAUAAGUCUCUUGGGAAAUCCGCCGGCUCAACCGGCGGGCGUCUAAGGGAUACUGUUAGUCUAGGGACCGGGAGAGGUGAGAGGUACUCCGGGGGUAGGAGUGAAAUCCUGUAAUCCCCGGGGGACCACCGAUGGCGAAGGCGUCCUGCUAAAACGGAUCCGACGGUGAGGGACGAAGCCCUGGGUCGCAAACGGGAUUAGAUACCCCGGUAGUCCAGGGUGUAAACGCUGCAAACUUGGUGU